Podarcis lilfordi (Lilford's wall lizard) is the source of this 69-nucleotide non-coding RNA. NCBI's taxonomy places the organism in Eukaryota, Metazoa, Chordata, Lepidosauria, Squamata, Lacertidae. The record is from the annotation of a GenBank genome assembly.
GGAUAGCUCAGUUGGUAAAGCAUGAUACUCUUAAUCACAGAGUCAUGGGUUCAAGCACCGCGUUGGACA